RNAcentral lists this ribosomal RNA (169 nucleotides) under uncultured bacterium. RNAcentral's name for it is "partial 16S ribosomal RNA". It matches the Rfam family "Bacterial small subunit ribosomal RNA", at positions 338 to 524 of the family's 1533-position model. RNAcentral also lists the same sequence under 2 other names. The record is from RNAcentral.
CCUACGGGAGGCAGCAGUGGGGAAUCUUGGACAAUGGGCGCAAGCCUGAUCCAGCCAUGCCGCGUGAGUGAUGAAGGCCUUAGGGUCGUAAAGCUCUUUCGCCAGGGAUGAUAAUGACAGUACCUGGUAAAGAAACCCCGGCUAACUCCGUGCCAGCAGCCGCGGUAAU